RNAcentral lists this ribosomal RNA (439 nucleotides) under uncultured bacterium. RNAcentral's name for it is "partial 16S ribosomal RNA". It matches the Rfam family "Bacterial small subunit ribosomal RNA", at positions 338 to 795 of the family's 1533-position model. The record is from RNAcentral.
CCUACGGGAGGCAGCAGUGGGGAAUAUUGCACAAUGGGCGAAAGCCUGAUGCAGCAACGCCGCGUGAGCGAUGAAGGCCUUCGGGUCGUAAAGCUCUGUCCUCAAGGAAGAUAAUGACGGUACUUGAGGAGGAAGCCCUGGCAAACUACGUGCCAGCAGCCGCGGCAAUACGUCGGGGGCUAGCGGUAUCCGGAAUUACUGGGCGAAAAGGGUGCGGAGGUGGUUUCUUAAGUCAGAGGUGAAAGGCUACGGCUCAACCGUAGUAAGCCUUUGAAACUGGGGAACUUGAGUGCAGGAGAGGAGAGUAGAAUUCCUAGUGUAGCGGUGAAAUGCGUAGAUAUUAGGAGGAACACCAGUAGCGAAGGCGGCUCUCUGGACUGUAACUGACACUGAGGCACGAAAGCGUGGGUAGCAAACAGGAUUAGAUACCCCAGUAGUC